GAUGAACGCUGGCGGCGUGCCUAAUACAUGCAAGUCGAGCGAAUGGAUUAAGAGCUUGCUCUUAUGAAGUUAGCGGCGGACGGGUGAGUAACACGUGGGUAACCUGCCCAUAAGACUGGGAUAACUCCGGGAAACCGGGGCUAAUACCGGAUAACAUUUUGAACCGCAUGGUUCGAAAUUGAAAGGCGGCUUCGGCUGUCACUUAUGGAUGGACCCGCGUCGCAUUAGCUAGUUGGUGAGGUAACGGCUCACCAAGGCAACGAUGCGUAGCCGACACGGGGGGGAGACCGGCCACACUGGGACUGAGACACGGCCCAGACUCCCACGGGGGGCAGGAGGAGGGAAGCUUCGGAAAAGGACGAAAGUCGGACGGGGGAACGCCGCGUGAGAGAUGAAGGCUUUCGGGUCGUAAAACUCUUUUGUUAGGGAAGAACAAGUGCUAGUUGAAUACGCUGGCACCUUGACGGUACCUAACCAGAAAGCCACGGCUAACUACGUGCCAGCAGCCGCCGUAA
RNAcentral lists this ribosomal RNA (515 nucleotides) under uncultured bacterium. RNAcentral's name for it is "partial 16S ribosomal RNA". It matches the Rfam family "Bacterial small subunit ribosomal RNA", at positions 28 to 523 of the family's 1533-position model. The record is from RNAcentral.